AAGGUUUCCUUCACAUAAUUGAGC
RNAcentral lists this non-coding RNA (24 nucleotides) under Arabidopsis thaliana (thale cress). Lineage: Eukaryota; Viridiplantae; Streptophyta; Magnoliopsida; Brassicales; Brassicaceae. The record is from RNAcentral.